Molecule: long non-coding RNA, 412 nt
Organism: Phascolarctos cinereus (koala)
Lineage: Eukaryota; Metazoa; Chordata; Mammalia; Diprotodontia; Phascolarctidae
Source: RefSeq, a predicted model, not a curated record
UGCUCACUUUUGUUUUCACCCUGCAAUUACAGGAAGAGGACAGCUAUGUUUCGGGUGCUCCUGCCCACUGUGGUGUCUUGGGGCUUCUGAAAUCUGUUUGCUGCCAGAGAAACACAAGUUUCAGCAAGUAAGAAGCCAAAUCCAAUCCCUUCAAAAAGAAGUGGAGACAGCACGAUGUAGUGGAUGAAAAGCAGCCUUGAAACAUGGGAGCUACAUCUGAAUACCAAUAACUUCACAUAUGCUUGCUUGCUUGGGUGAGUGAGUCUGAGCCUGGAUCUCAAGUCCUUAGCUGCCUCUGCUGCUUUGUAUUUCUUCUCCUCGGCACAGAUCAACUUCCUGCAGGACCGAAUCCAGUUCUGUGUGAGCCUACAGUUAGGUCUCCUUGUAGGAAAGGAUGUUCUUCCCCACCCCC